This 891-nucleotide ribosomal RNA is filed under the name Bysmatrum sp. SK-2015. Its description in RNAcentral is "eukaryotic LSU rRNA". It matches the Rfam family "Eukaryotic large subunit ribosomal RNA", at positions 1 to 906 of the family's 3401-position model. Lineage: Eukaryota; Dinophyceae; Peridiniales; Peridiniaceae. The record is from RNAcentral.
UGAAUUUAAGCAUACCCGCUGAAUUUAAGCAUAUAAGUAAGCAGAGGACUCGAAACCAAAUUGGCAGACCCCAGUAAUGGCGAACGAACUGGGACAUUCUCAGUGCUGGAAUCGGGGCGUGAGCCUCUAACUGUGCUGCUGUGGUGUACAGCUUGCAAGGGGGUAAGCUUGAGCCUCUUGGAAGAGGGCGCUGCUGGGGGUGAGAGUCCCUCCUGCCACCUACUUCCCUGCAGGAAUGGUGUAUCUUCCUAGAGUCGCGUUCUUUGGGACUGGAGCGCAAUGGGGUGGUAAGUUGCAUCUAGAGUUGAUCAAAUGCUUGGGAUCAAUAGUUAACAAGUACUGUGAGGGAAAGGUGAAAAGGACUUUGGAGAGAGAGCUAGAAGUGCCUGAACUUACUGUGGGUGAAGUGAAUUGGGCUGAAGCCGUGGUGAGAUUGCGGUGUGGCAUGGACACUGAGACUUAUGCUCACUCUUGUGAGACUUUGGGCUAUGUGUGCAGCCUGCAUGGUGGGUCUCAUCAACAAUGCUGUCAGCAGUUGCUCCUCGAACAUUUCCACAAGCUUUGUUGCUGACUACGUGCCAGCUGGAUGCUUGCCAGCUUCGACUGCAGAGUGUUUGAUGGUUUCAAGGACAGCUUGACUCGUCCCGUCUUGAAACACGGACCAAGGAGUCUAGCAUCUGUGCAAGUGUGCUGGCCUGAAGAAUUCUGGCCGCAAAGUCAAGUGCGACUGCCUGGCAACUUGCACUGGCAACCAACUUACCACCGGGGCAACGUUUGAGUGUGAGCACAAGUGCUAGGGCCCGAAAGAUGGUGAACUAUGCCUGUGCAGGGCAAACUCAGGGGAAACCCUGGUGGAGGCUUACAGUGGUACUGACGUGCAAAUCGUUCGUU